This 786-nucleotide ribosomal RNA is filed under the name uncultured bacterium. Its description in RNAcentral is "bacterial SSU rRNA". It matches the Rfam family "Bacterial small subunit ribosomal RNA", at positions 1 to 804 of the family's 1533-position model. The record is from RNAcentral.
UCGCCCUUAGAGUUUGAUCCUGGCUCAGGAUCCUCGCUGACAGAAUGCUUAACACAUGCAAGUCGAUUCGAUUUACCUUCGGGUAUUGAGGAUGGCGGACGGGUGAGUAACGCGUAAGGAACUUGCCUCUUGGACUGGGACAACUGUUGGAAACGACAGCUAAUACCGGAUAUUAUGAGAUUCUCGCAUGAGAAACUUAUGAAAGCUAUAUGCGCCAAGAGAGAGCCUUGCGUUCCAUUAGCUAGUUGGUGGGGUAAUGGCCCACCAAGGCGACGAUGGAUAGCCGGCCUGAGAGGGUGAACGGCCACAAGGGGACUGAGACACGGCCCUUACUCCUACGGGAGGCAGCAGUGGGGAAUAUUGGACAAUGGGCCACAAGCCUGAUCCAGCAAUUCUGUGUGCACGAUGAAGGUCUUCGGAUUGUAAAGUGCUUUCAGUUGGGAAGAAGAAAGUGACGGUACCAACAGAAGAAGCGACGGCUAAAUACGUGCCAGCAGCCGCGGUAAUACGUAUGUCGCAAGCGUUAUCCGGAUUUAUUGGGCGUAAAGCGCGUCUAGGCGGAAAAAUAAGUCUGAUGUUAAAAUGCGGGGCUCAACUCCGUAUUGCGUUGGAAACUGUUUUUCUAGAGUACUGGAGAGGUGGGCGGAACUACAAGUGUAGAGGUGAAAUUCGUAGAUAUUUGUAGGAAUGCCGAUGGAGAAGUCAGCUCACUGGACAGAUACUGACGCUGAAGCGCGAAAGCGUGGGGAGCAAACAGGAUUACAUACCCUGGUAGUCCACGCCGUA